Molecule: unclassified non-coding RNA, 340 nt
Filed under: soil metagenome
Description: partial contains 5.8S ribosomal RNA, internal transcribed spacer 2, and large subunit ribosomal RNA
Rfam family: 5.8S ribosomal RNA (bases 1-120)
Source: RNAcentral
GAUGAAGAACGCAGCGAAAUGCGAUAACUAAUGUGAAUUGCAGAAUUCAGUGAAUCAUCGAGUCUUUGAACGCACAUUGCGCCCCCUGGUAUUCCGGGGGGCAUGCCUGUCCGAGCGUCAUUGCUGCCCUCAAGCACGGCUUGUGUGUUGGGCUCCGUCCCCCCGGGGACGGGUCCGAAAGGCAGCGGCGGCACCGAGUCCGGUCCUCGAGCGUAUGGGGCUUGUCACCCGCUCUGUAGGCCCGGCCGGCGCCAGCCGACAACCAAUCAUCCUUUUUUCAGGUUGACCUCGGAUCAGGUAGGGAUACCCGCUGAACUUAAGCAUAUCAAUAAGCGGAGGA